GAUGAACGCUAGCUACAGGCUUAACACAUGCAAGUCGAGGGGCAGCAUUACGGUAGCUUGCUACUGUAGAUGGCGACCGGCGCACGGGUGAGUAACGCGUAUCCAACCUGCCCAUGACUUGGGGAUAACCUUGCGAAAGCAAGCCUAAUACCCGAUACGCUUCAUAGAUGGCAUCUGAAAUGAAGUAAAGGUUUACGGUUAUGGAUGGGGAUGCGUCCGAUUAGCUUGUUGGCGGGGUAACGGCCCACCAAGGCAUCGAUCGGUAGGGGUUCUGAGAGGAAGGUCCCCCACAUUGGAACUGAGACACGGUCCAAACUCCUACGGGAGGCAGCAGUGAGGAAUAUUGGUCAAUGGAGGCAACUCUGAACCAGCCAAGUAGCGUGCAGGAUGACGGCUCUAUGGGUUGUAAACUGCUUUUAUGCGGGGAUAAACUGACUCACGUGUGGGUCAUUGCAGGUACCGCAUGAAUAAGGACCGGCUAAUUCCGUGCCAGCAGCCGCGGUAAUACGGAGGAUGCGAGCGUUAUCCGGAUUUAUUGGGUUUAAAGGGAGCGUAGACGGGUUUUUAAGUCAGCUGUGAAAGUUUGGGGCUCAACCUUAAAAUAGCAGUUGAAACUGGAGACCUUGAGUACGGUUGAGGCAGGCGGAAUUCGUGGUGUAGCGGUGAAAUGCUUAGAUAUCACGAAGAACCCCGAUUGCGAAGGCAGCCUGCUAAGCCACCACUGACGUUGAGGCUCGAAAGUGCGGGUAUCAAACAGG
This 758-nucleotide ribosomal RNA is filed under the name uncultured bacterium. Its description in RNAcentral is "bacterial SSU rRNA". It matches the Rfam family "Bacterial small subunit ribosomal RNA", at positions 28 to 776 of the family's 1533-position model. The record is from RNAcentral.